GGGACACAAUGCAGAUAGCCAGGUUAGCCAAUGUGCUGGAUCACUGGUUGGGCCGGCCAAUUUAGGUAGUAUGUACAUGAAUGUAUAGUUAAAGUGACUGUGCAUAUAUGAUGAACAGAGAGUAACAGCAGCAUAAAAUAGGGAUUGGGGGGGGCACACAAUGCAAAUAGUCCGGGUAGCCGUUUGAUUACCUGUUCAGGAGUCUUAUGGCUUGGAGGUAAAAACUGUUGAGAAGCCUUUUUGUCCUAGACUUGGCACUCCGGUACCGCUUGCCAUGCGGUAGUAGAGAGAACAGUCUAUGACUGGGGUGGCUGGGGUCUUUGACAAUUUCUAGGACCUUCCUCUGACACCACCUGGUGUAGAGGUCCUGGAUGGCAGGCAGCUUUGCUCCAGUGAUGUACUGGGCUGUACGCACUACCCUCUGAAGUGCCUUGUGGUUGGAGGCCAAGCAAUUGCCGUACCAGGCAGUGAUGCAACCAAUGCUCUCAAUGUUGCAGCUGUAGAACCUUUUGAGGAUCUCAGGACCUAUGCCACAUCUUUUUAGUUUCCUGAGGGGGGAGUGGCUUUGUCGUGCCCUCUUCACGACUGUCUUGGUGUGGUUGGACUUAUUUACAUAAGACCCACCACCACAGCCUGAUGGGAUAGCUCCGACCCAGCCUGGUCCUCCAAGCACAGCCAUACACAGCCGGGGAGCAGAAACAUGAGACCACACCUUGACCCCAGUCACCUUAUGAAUACACACAGUACAUAUUUUGGAUCCACAGUAAGAAACAGUCAAGGAAUCUAAUCUUCACAUUGGACAGGUCCUCAUUUUGAUGUCAUUUAACCAUUGUUACACACACUUGCUGUAUGCUUUAUUGACCAGUGCUGAAGAGUAUACGCAAAUCAUUGUGUUUUAUAUGAAACUAUC
Molecule: long non-coding RNA, 910 nt
Organism: Oncorhynchus nerka (sockeye salmon)
Lineage: Eukaryota; Metazoa; Chordata; Actinopteri; Salmoniformes; Salmonidae
Exons: 2
Source: RefSeq, a predicted model, not a curated record